This 905-nucleotide ribosomal RNA is filed under the name uncultured archaeon. RNAcentral's name for it is "bacterial SSU rRNA". It matches the Rfam family "Archaeal small subunit ribosomal RNA", at positions 21 to 903 of the family's 1478-position model. The record is from RNAcentral.
CCCGACUGCUAUCGAAGUGGGACUAAGCCAUGUUAGUCGAACGCCUUUCAACUAUGUGAUUGGCGUGGCGUACGGCUCAGUAACACGUUGUUAACCUACCCUGAAGACGUGGACAACCCCGGGAAACUGGGAUUAAACCACGAUAGAUCAAGACCCCUGGAAUGGAUCUUGUUCCAAAGGAAGGAUGAGCAUGUUCAUUUAUUUGCCUCAGGAUGGGACUGCGUCCGAUCAGGUUGUUGGUGGAGUAAUAGCCCACCAAGCCUGUAACCGGUACGGGCUUUGAGAGAAGGAGCCCGGAGAUGGACACUGAGAAAAGAGUCCAGGUCCUACGGGGCGCAGCAGGCGCGAAACCUUCGCAAUGCACGAAAGUGCGACGAGGCUACUUCGAGUGCCAUCCGCUGAGGAUGGCUUUUGUCAGGUGUAAAAAGCCUGGAGAAUAAGGGGAGGGCAAGUCUGGUGUCAGCCGCCGCGGUAAUACCAGCUCCCCGAGUGGUCGGGACGAUUAUUGGGCCUAAAGCAUCCGUAGCCUGCUCCGCAGGUCUUCUGUUAAAUUCAACGGCUUAACCGUUGAGCUGCAGGAGAUACCACGGGGCUAGGAGGCGGAAGAGGUAGACGGUACUCCAUGGGUAGGGGUAAAAUCCUCUGAUCCAUGGAAGACCACCAGUGGCGAAGGCGGUCUACCAGAACGCGCUCGACGGUGAGGGAUGAAAGCUGGGGGAGCGAACCGGAUUAGAUACCCGGGUAGUCCCAGCUGUAAACGAUGCGAGCUAGGUGACGGAGUGGUUUCCGUACCAUUCCGGUGCCGCAGGGAAGCCGUUAAGCUCGCCGCCUGGGGAGUACGGUCGCAAGACUGAAACUUAAAGGAAUUGGCGGGGGAGCACCCACAGGGGUGAAGCCUGCGGUUC